RNAcentral lists this transfer RNA (90 nucleotides) under Pseudomonadota bacterium. RNAcentral's name for it is "Proteobacteria bacterium tRNA-Ser". It matches the Rfam family "tRNA". Rfam says of the family: Transfer RNA (tRNA) molecules are approximately 80 nucleotides in length. Their secondary structure includes four short double-helical elements and three loops (D, anti-codon, and T loops). The record is from RNAcentral. Lineage: Bacteria; Pseudomonadati; Pseudomonadota.
GGAAGGAUGGCCGAGUGGUUGAAGGCACUGGUCUUGAAAACCAGAGACCUGGAAACGGGUCCGGGGGUUCGAAUCCCUCUCCUUCCGCCA